GGCGUACGGGUGAGUAACACGUGGAUCAUCUACCCUUGAGUUCGGGAUAACGCUGGGAAACCGGCGCUAAUACCGGAUGAGCCCGGGAGGGCAAAGCAGCAAUGCGCUGGAGGAGGAGUCCGCGGCCGAUUAGCUAGUUGGCAGGAUAAAAGCCUACCAAGGCAAAGAUCGGUAGCCGGCCUGAGAGGGCACACGGCCACACUGGCACUGAAACACGGGCCAGACUCCUACGAGAGGCAGCAGUGGGGAAUCUUGCACAAUGGGGGCAACCCUGAUGCAGCGACGCCGCGUGAGCGAUGAAGCCCUUCGGGGUGUAAAGCUCUUUCGGCAGGGAAGAAACAUGACGGUACCUGCAGAAGCAGCUGCGGCUAACUACGUGCCAGCAGCCGCGGUAAUACGUAGGCAGCGAGCGUUGUUCGGAGUUACUGGGCGUAAAGGGUGUGUAGGCGGUUCCCUAAGUUUGGUGUGAAAUCUCCCGGCUUAACUGGGAGGGUGCGCCGAAGACUGGGGAGCUAGAGUGCGGGAUGGGAGAGUAGAAUUCCUGGUGUAGCGGUGAAAUGCGUAGAUAUCAGGGGGAAUACCGGUGGUGUAGACGGCU
Molecule: ribosomal RNA, 598 nt
Filed under: uncultured bacterium
Lineage: Bacteria
Description: bacterial SSU rRNA
Rfam family: Bacterial small subunit ribosomal RNA
Source: RNAcentral